UGGUGAGGAAUAACACGAGGAAACUUGUGCUAAUACCUCAUAAGUCUUUACGGAGAAAGCUUUAUGCGCCGAAGGAUGAGCCUGCACUUGAUUAGUUUGUUGGUGGGGUAAUGGCCUACCAAGACUUUGAUCUAUAGCUGAUCUGAGAGGAUGAUCAGCCACAUUGGGACUGAGACACGGCCCAAACUCCUACGGGAGGCAGCAGUAGGGAAUAUUGCACAAUGGAGGAAACUCUGAUGCAGCGAUGCCGCGUGAGUGAAGAAGGCCUUUGGGUUGUAAAGCUCUUUCGUCGGGGAAGAAAAUGACUGUACCCGAAUAAGAAGGUCCGGCUAACUUCGUGCCAGCAGCCGCGGUAAUACGAAGGGACCUAGCGUAGUUCGGAAUUACUGGGCUUAAAGAGUUCGUAGGUGGUUAAAAAAGUUGGUGGUGAAAUCCCAGAGCUUAACUCUGGAACUGCCAUCAAAACUUUUUAGCUAGAGUUUGAUAGAGGAAAGCAGAAUUUCUAGUGUAGAGGUGAAAUUCGUAGAUAUUAGAAAGAAUACCGAUUGCGAAGGCAGCUUUCUGGAUCAAUACUGACACUGAGGAACGAAAGCAUGGGUAGCGAAGAGGAUUAGAUACCCUCGUAGUCCAUGCCGUAAACGAUGUGUGUUAGACGUUGGAAAUUUAUUUUCAGUGUCGCAGCGAAAGCGAUAAACACACCGCCUGGGGAGUACGACCGCAAGGUUAAAACUCAAAUGAAUUGACGGGGACCCGCACAAGCGGUGGAGCAUGUGGUUUAAUUCGAUGCAACGCGAAAAACCUUACCUACUCUUGACAUACUUGGGAAGCUCUUGUAAUGAGAGUGUGCCUUUUGGAGCCAAGAUACAGGUGCUGCAUGGCUGUCGUCAGCUCGUGUCGUGAGAUGUUCCGUUAAGUCGGAUAACGAGCGCAACCCUUACCCUUAUUUGCCAGCGAUUCGGUCGG
Molecule: ribosomal RNA, 963 nt
Filed under: uncultured bacterium
Lineage: Bacteria
Description: bacterial SSU rRNA
Rfam family: Bacterial small subunit ribosomal RNA
Source: RNAcentral